GCACAUGUGGUUCACACAACUCUUCCUAUCUUUUGCUUUUUGUGCAAGAUAUAUACACACACGAUAUAGAUAUGGGGAAAAAAAGAAUAGAAAAAAAGAAAGUGGGGAACAACACUUUGAGAGAUAAGGAGGAUUUUCGGGGAAAAAGGAGGGGACCAAAAUAUUUUGAGUUUUUCUUAUUUGAUUUGGGUUUAAAAUAUGGAGAAGAUAAGUUGUAGUGAGAAAUGCACUAAUUAAAUGCCCAUUUAAAGGAACUAAAAAUCACAGAAGGAGGACAUUCGGAGAGAACACAACCCCCCCCCCCCCCAUUUUCAUCUUCCUCACACACCCCACCACAAAGAAAACCAACACCCAUCAGCUUUAGCUCCUUCUUCUCCAUUUUGAACACCCAUCGAGACCUUCCCCUCCUUUAAGCUCUCUCCCUUCACUCCCAUUUUGAAAUACACACACGAGACAGCGAAGGAGGGAUUCUGCAAUUGAAAAGUUCCAAAAGUAGAUUUGGAAAUAAAUAAUGAAAAAAAAAUCUCUGAAAAAGCCGAAAGAAAUAAGGAUUUCGGACCGGAUUUUGAGAAGAAUUAAUUGCUGGAAAUUUAAGGUUUAUAUCUUUGUUUUCUUCUGGAUGGUGAAGCUGUGAAAGCUGAGAUUGGGAACUGGCCGAUUACGCUGUGUCCAGUAGCUGAGUUCCGGCAUUAUUUUCGUCUUUUUCAGCCUCUGCUUUGGCUUUCAAUUUUUAUUCGUUUCAGGUAUGUUCCAUACUAAAUCAGUUGUUGCUUGAGUUUAUGAAAUGAGGAAAUGAAUUAUUUAUAGCCUGUUGUUUGUACAUACACUGAUUAACCAAUCUUUCAUUUGGUGAAUGGUGAUUAUUGGUACGAUUCUACUCUCUGCUUGCAUUACUUGUGCUCUCGCUCCUCUUGAAGAACAAAGCUACUGUGCUUUGCUUAUUUUAUUUUACCUUAAAGAUUUUUUUAUUUAUAGAUUAGGUUCCAGAUUUCCAUUAAAUGAAUUCCUAGUAUUUUAUGUUUCUAGCGAUCCUUUCAGUGAAAUGGUAAAACAUCUAAAAAGUUAUCAUUGAUUAGAUUUUGUUAGAGUGUAUGUAUUGUACGAUAAUUUAGUUAUAAAAGAGCAGUAAUCCAUUAUCCCAUUGUAGCACUUAUAAUAAUACAUUGGACAUUCAUGUUGAUUUUGGGGAACUAAUUCUUUUUUAUAAAAAUAAAAGUCUUUUACGUUGUGCUACAAGCCUACAACCCCAAUAUUUUAAAGUUUUUUUUUUGUUAUAUUGGCAAAGUUAAUUUGGUUCUCCAAAUGAUACUGAAGUAAGAAAAUGCAGAACUACUUGUUUGUUUGUUUUUCUUAAUGAAAUGCAACAUUUCAUGCACUUAUUUUUAUAAUAAUCUUUCAUUUUUUGAUUAGUUCUUUAUGAGUAGUGACAAUUUAUAAAAGCAACCGGCACAGAGUAAGAGGUUAUUCUUCAAUUCGUUGUAAUCGUUUCCUCGUUUGAGUUCUGCUAUUGCACGACACUGCAGAUGAUUCACAAUAUUUUUAUCCAUAACUCUUUAUCUUUACAAUAAUCUCAAAAUAGUUUAAGAAACAAUUCAUGAACAUCGUAGCUUGCUUUAGGCGCGAUUAAAUAAACAAUCAUAGCUAUGGGUAUGGUUCCCGUGACGUAGUUGUGAUGCUUGAUUUAUAUAAAUCUGGGGGUGCAUUUCAUGUGACUCGGUUCUAAUUAAAACAAGGUUAAAUAGAACGUAUUUUGAACCGCGAGUACAUUUAUGUAGCGUGAUUUACGAUGUGUUUUAAAUAACUUUAAAUUUUUUCCGAAAUAUUAAAAGCGGUCUUUUUGUUUUUUGCUUUUGCUUUUUGCUUUUGCUUUUACUUUUGCUUUUGCUUUUGGCUAUAGUAUCUUGAAAUAUCACAUUGAAGUGUUAGUGCACUCAAGUGAUGGAGUAAAGAUUCUCUUUCAGCAUUACACAUUACGUAUAACACAAAUUAGAGUAAAUGUACGCAAUUGUGAAGUUUCUUUCUCUGUUGUUUGUUUGGCAUGAUUGAUCCAUCUUUUUUUUUAUGCAUUCAAUUAAUAGAUGAUUUAUUUCCAUACUUGAGCCUUUUGUUUAAAAAUUGUUUAGCAACCGAACCUCAUAUUUUGGUUUGAAGCAAUAAAGAUUUUUGGCCGUUUGGAUUUAGAUAAUUCAAGUCUGAUUGGCCAAGAGCUAAUAAAAAUUCACAAGCUAGUUUCAUCUUUCUGUAAAUAAUCUAUCUCUUUUCUAUAUUAAUUUCCAUAACAUGGCCUUCAUAAUAAUCUUAAAUUAGCUUUAGAAAAAUAAUUAAUAAUUUUCGUAGUUUGCUUUAGGCUCGAUUUAGAUUAGUAUUAUGAUUAUGUAUACGUUCGCGUAACAUAAUUGCGAAUUUAACUCUAAAAAAGACUCGAGGGAUGCGUUUGCGCAACCUCAAUCAAAUUUUCUUAAAUAAAUAAACAAAGUGUUAUUAAUUGUGGACACGUUCGCGUGACAUAAUUUUUGACGCGCCAAAGGAAAAGAGUAUAUGUACGCGUAACUCAAUUCUUUAAUUACGAAUAAAUCAAGUGAUUUAAAAGCGGUUUAAUAGUUGAAAAUGCACAUAGGUUUGAUAGUGUUUUAAAAUCAGAUAAUUAGGCCAAUAAUAAUAGUUGAGAGACCGUGCUAGAACCACGAAACUCGAGAAUGCCUAACACCUUCUCCCGGAUUAACAGAAUUCCUUACCCAAAUUUCUGAUCCGCAGACUGUAAAACAGAGUCAACCUUUUCCUCGAUUCGGGAUUUGAACCGGUGACUUGGGACACCAUAAAUAUCCCAAGUGGCGAUUCUGAAUUUCUUAAUAUAAAUAAUCCCGUUUCGAUUGUCCUUUAAUUGGAAAAACUCCCUUAUGCCCUUCGGGUGUAGGAAAAAAGAGGUGUGACAGUCUUAAUCUUAAAAAAAAUAAAUGAGGCUUAAGUGGUUGUAAAGUAUGUAAAAAAAUAAAUACACUUAAUGAUUAAGAUCUAAAUGGUUAAGAUUCAGAUCACCUUAAAAACAAACACACUUAAUGUGUGAGAUCUGAAUAAUUAAGAUUCAGAGUUCAUUAAGUGCUAAGGCUGUAUUCUGGGCCGGGCCCGAGCCUAAAUGGGCUAAACAGGCCGGGCUUAACGGUACCGGAUUUUGGCGGGCCAGUCUUUGGCGGUCCCAAGCCAAACAGUCCCGGGCCAAACGGGCCUGACGGGUGGAACCGACCCACUAUGGGUCUAAGCCCACAUGGCCCCGGACUAAAUGAGCCAUGCCCAUGGGCCUAAACGGGCCUAAAUGUUCCGGGCUAUAUGGUAUAGAGGGAGGAGCAUGGGUGCAUGUGUCCCAUGCCCCAUGUGCACAUGCACCCAUGCUCCUACCUCUAUACCAUAUAUAUUUAUUUUAUAUAUUUUUUUUAAAUAUGCUUAAAUAUAUAUGUGUGCACCCAAGCUCAAAGAGUUCUAUAGUGCAAUAAAUAUUCAGUGCACCUUCUUAUGUUAGAUGUUCAAUUCUCAGUUUGUUGGCAUAUCUAGUGUCCCUUCUUGUGUUUUAAUUAAGUUUUUUCUUCUCCUUUUUUUUUUGUUUGAUUUAUUCAUUCAAAAUUUCCAAAUCUAACACAUUGAAAUCCUUUAUUUUCUUUUUGUCAUCACAAAAAUUUAUAUAAUUAAAAUUAAUAGCAGUGGAUGAUGUAGCAUGGUACAAUGAUCCCAAUAUUUUUGAUACGGAAUAUAGAUAUAUGUUACAAUUCACUAAAAUUACGAGAAAAAAAAUUAAUUUUAAUCUAUAAUUUCAAAAUGGUAAUGAAUUCAUGGUAAAAAAUUACAGGUUAAACCCGUCAAAUAUAAAUUCUAGAUUCAUUUCUUUGUAGUUGUGCACCCAUCUCCUUGGAAUCCUGGAUCCGCCUCUGUAUAUAUUGCCUUAUAUAUAUAUAAAAUUUAAACACAAAAUAAAUUGAAAAGAAAUAUUCAAGGGAAUGUCUUAUAAUUUUUAUUAUUACGACAUUAACAAAAUGGCAAUAUCUUUCUUAGUCUUCCUCCCCCCAAUAGAAUGAGCACAACAAGGUACCAAUACCACCAUUAAAAGGAAAAAAAGCUAAGGAAGAUCUGCCAAAAUACAAGUUACAUAUUAGUCUAUGUAUUAUCUCUAACAAAUUUCAUAAAUCCUUUAAGGUCCGGAGGAAUUUUCGUUGGUGGUGGCGGAAAAGAAGCUUGUUCAUCACCGCUUCCGGGCGAAGCAGCAUCCUGCGCAAGUUCCGCUAGCAUUUCUUCAUAAGCUUCAUCUAUCUCCGAUUGUGAUUCUGCAAGUCCAAAAGUUUUUCUUUCCGAACGGAUCCAAUCUCUGAAGAGUACUGAUUUUUCCAAGCUCUCCCUCGUAGACGCUCUAUGAUCACCGAUUUGAAGUCUCGCUUGACUAAAAGCGCUCUCUGAUGCCACUGUUGAAGCUUGAACACUUAAAAUAUCUCGAGUCAUCCUUGAAAGAACCGGAUAGUGUUUUUGUUUGUCCUUCCACCAUUCCAAGACAUCAAAGGAGCCGCCAGGAUUCUCUGAUUCAAGUCCCUGCGACAAAUAAACUUGAAGCUCAUUUAGUUGUGAACUAUCACCAAUAUUAUCACCUUGAGAACUCCUGAACUCCGUCCAAGAACUAUGUGCUUUUAGGCCCGCAGUUCUUUUAGAUGAUUGCGAACUAGACGAAGUAGGAGCUGGAACAUUUNNNNN
Molecule: long non-coding RNA, 4728 nt
Filed under: Nicotiana tabacum (common tobacco)
Lineage: Eukaryota; Viridiplantae; Streptophyta; Magnoliopsida; Solanales; Solanaceae
Description: long non-coding RNA (NTAB_LNC011191)
Source: RNAcentral